AGAGUUUGAUCAUGGCUCAGAUUGAACGCUGGCGGCAUGCCUUACACAUGCAAGUCGAACGGCAGCGCGGGGCAACCUGGCGGCGAGUGGCGAACGGGUGAGUAAUAUAUCGGAACGUACCCUGGAGUGGGGGAUAACGUAGCGAAAGUUACGCUAAUACCGCAUACGAUCUAAGGUUGAAAGUGGGGGAUCGCAAGACCUCAUGCUCAUGGAGUGGCCGAUAUCUGAUUAGCUAGUUGGUGAGGUAAAGGCUCACCAAGGCGACGAUCAGUAGCUGGUUUGAGAGAACGACCAGCCACACUGGAACUGAGACACGGGUCCAGACUCCUACGGGAGGCAGCAGUGGGGAAUUUUGGACAAUGGGGGCAACCCUGAUCCAGCAAUGCCGCGUGAGUGAAGAAGGCCCUCGGGUUGUAAAGCUCUUUUGUCAGGGAAGAAACGGUCUACUCUAAUACAGUGGGCUAAUGACGGUACCUGAAGAAUAAGCACCGGCUAACUACGUG
This 503-nucleotide ribosomal RNA is filed under the name uncultured bacterium. RNAcentral's name for it is "bacterial SSU rRNA". It matches the Rfam family "Bacterial small subunit ribosomal RNA", at positions 8 to 507 of the family's 1533-position model. The record is from RNAcentral.